Molecule: ribosomal RNA, 253 nt
Filed under: uncultured bacterium
Lineage: Bacteria
Description: partial 16S ribosomal RNA
Rfam family: Bacterial small subunit ribosomal RNA
Source: RNAcentral
CACGUAGGGCGCGAGCGUUGUCCGGAUUUAUUGGGCGUAAAGAGCUCGUAGGCGGCUUGUCGCGUCGUCCGUGAAAACUUGGGGCUCAACCCCAAGCUUGCGGUCGAUACGGGCAGGCUAGAGUUCGGUAGGGGAGACUGGAAUUCCUGGUGUAGCGGUGAAAUGCGCAGAUAUCAGGAGGAACACCGGUGGCGAAGGCGGGUCUCUGGGCCGAUACUGACGCUGAGGAGCGAAAGCGUGGGGAGCGAACAGG